Anopheles gambiae (African malaria mosquito) is the source of this 4434-nucleotide long non-coding RNA. RefSeq lists it as uncharacterized. The transcript is spliced from 3 exons. The record is from RefSeq and is a predicted model, not a curated record. Lineage: Eukaryota; Metazoa; Arthropoda; Insecta; Diptera; Culicidae.
GCUGGUACUGCUGCAAUUUUUCGGCCUUACUUGCUGCCCGCUCGUACACCUAUUCCACGGUUGAACCUUCCGACGGGGAGAAAGUCUCGCGCAAUGCUCCUGGGGUGGACGAUGCUCCGCGGGGGCUAGUGUAAACGUUGACAGGUUCUGUUCCUUGGACAGUCCCUGCGGUAGCCGGCUCUGCCCUUGGCAUACCACGCGAUUGGUGCUGCUCCAUUGCACUUGCACUUUUUUGGUCACAGGCACUUCGAAACACACCGCGCGUGAUUUAUUUAUUUGACUCGCGAAACUACACGUCGAACGCCGUACACGAAAUCGUUUGACGAAUUUCCAAAUUCAAUUUAUUUUGGAUUUAUCGAACCAAAUUUUUUGGAGUGUUGGGAACUAAAACCAAGGUGGAUUAAAUUUCUUGCCAAAACGAUUUAUUUCAAUAAUACGCGCCAAAAAAAAUUCCGUUUUCCGCGGAUGGUUUAGGAAAAAGGCAUGUUACGAAAAGAAAGUUCUAAGUAGGCGAGCCCUGCAACGGGUUCUACCAAACCGGGCGAAAUGUGCAGCGAGAGUAGAAAUGAUCGGGCGAACCCGAUCGUGGCCGGAACGCGAUGAACACCCAUGCGUGUGUGGGUGAGUGCUCGAGAGGCCGAAAGGGAAGAGGUUCGGGUUCGGGACAUACCUUUUUUGUAGUUUUUCACUGCUUUUCUUACUUUGCUCUAAUUGAUUAGAUUUGCUUAAGUACAUAGUUCAACUUCUUUUGCGUGAAAAUAAAGGUUAAAGCUGACCUCACAAACGCCUACUACGCGCCUCCUUGUGCUUACAAGGCACGUUCCUGUUUUGCGGCCCUUUUUAACCCUUUUCUUCGGUUUCGCUUCGAGUCUUUUUCGUUUCACGCCUACGCUCGUUUUUCAUAUCCCGUUUAUGACAGGUAGUUGGAUACCUUUGGUGAGAGGUUCCAACACAAGUAUUGUCUUCCAUAGUAUCAAUAUAAUUAAUUAUUUCACUUCUACGAGGCACAUCUAUGGAUAAAUUAUAACUUGUAUUAUUUUGCAAUAUUCAAGAAUUAUUUUGAAAAAUUAACACUGCUUCAAAUUGUUACAAAAAAUUGUACUAAUCAGUCCCUUGACAUCAGGUAGAAGCUGAUAUAAACUAUGCACUUGACAAUAGGAGGAAGCUGAUGUAAAAUAUGCAAUCUUAUUUGAUAAGAAUGUGAGUGAUAAUUACAAAUUUACACAAAUGUAUCCAUCAAUCCGGCUGUCUUUGAAAUGCCGUUGAUUCCUCUUUUUGUGAUUUUAAAAGAAGUGUUCAUAGAAAUAUUAUUCGGAAGAUAUAAAGGGUUCAGAAUAUAAUCGGAUGCCCCGCUGUCUACUAAAAAAAAGCUUUCACAUAAUUAUUUGUGUUCAGAUGAGCGAAAAAAAAUCGUUAAUGAUUGAUUAUCUUCGCUAUCAUGCGGGGGUUCCAGUUUUUCAGUAUUAUUUGUGGGUUCUGGUUGUGAUAAUGCCAUUGUCGAGACCAAAAGAUUGGGGUCUAUUUUCUGUUUUUCCUAUGUUGUGUUUAUUUUGUGAAAUUGCAGUGCAAAAAGAGAACGAAACAAAAUUCUGACUUCUUACAGGGUUUCCCACGAUUUAUUGGUUGAUUCCCAUAUAUUUUUGGUGGGUUCCCAUUUUUUUUUGUUGCGUUCUCACGAUUUGUUUGGCUGUUUCCCAGAAUUUUUUGGUCCAAUGCAUUGACAUCCAACCGAAAAAUACCAAUAAAUUAUGGGAUCGAACCAAAAAUCUAUUGGAUACGAUAAAAAAAUCGUGAAAACUGACCAAUCAAUCGUGGUAAACCCUGUAUAUAUCCCUCUUUAGAACCUGUCGUUUCUGAUGGACACAAUUCUUUCCGUUCUCAACUAACAAAACCCGCACAACGGUAGUUCUUCAUUCCGUUAAUUCAAAUUAUAUUAAUCGUAAAAUGGCGGCCACCAAAAUCCACCUCCAAAGAAUCUCUUAUAUAUCUCUCAAAAGGUAAUAGACAUACUCUGGAAGCUGGUCGUUUAUAGAUCCCUCACACUCUUUAAACGGUUACUACUCAUACCACGUUGUCCUUCCCUGGAUGAGUAUCUACGAUUCUCGCCAAAGACCACUCUCCGCUAACUUAUCCUCUUCCUUCAGCAUUACCAUCUAUCCCUCAUUCAGCUGGUGUACUACCCUAUUCUUCUGAUAAGAAUUAUGCAAUUCUCCCAUGUAUUCUACUCGCCAUUUUCGCCAAUGAUCUUGUACAAUUUGUUGUAACUGUUCUUUUAGCUUCAUCCUAUUCAUAGGAACUUUUAACACAUUCUGAUCGGGUAGUGCUAACAAUGAUGUCCGUAUAAGAAAAUGGACCAGGUGUAAGAACAUCCAUUCUAAACAUGUUAUAUUGUAUUUGACAUUCCAUGUUUCCAAUUAGUACAAUUUGCUCAAAGAACUGUCAAAUUUAGAAUAUACCGUAUACCAAGAAUGCGUAUAUAGAGUAUGGCGUAUAUCAGGAAAUAUCUGUACCCAUUAACUUACUAGCACUUAAAAGCUAUCGCGGUUGCGAGGCCUCAUGCGAGCUCGCAAACUGCUCUUAAUUUGCUUACGGGUUUUUAACGCCAGUUUAAACCGCACUUCACACCAAGCGUUAAAGUUCUGCGAACAAAAACAACAUUAUUGUAUGGGAGUUAAAAAAUUGCUAUUAAAUUAAGUUUAGUGUAACAUCUGAACAUGUAGUAAGUCUUAAAACCUAUUCUCAUGCCAUCAAGGGGUGUGUGAAAAGUUUCGUUGAAAAUGAUCCAGCCGUCUCGGAAGUUGCUGGCAAGAAACACCAUGGCACAAGAUUUUUAUAUAUUUAGAAGAAGAAGAAGAUAGAUAGAAUAUAGAUUGAAAAAAUAUUUUAUGUUUAAAAAGGAACAUUAAAAUAUGAAGUUUUUUUUGUUUUUUUUAUUUCUUUCUUUCUUUAGAAAUUUCUUUGAACUGACCUUUCGUUUCACAUUACCGACCUGUUUUUCCAGAACAUUGCGCUGCUAUGAUUGAUUUUCACCCGUGGUUCCUCUGCUGCUUACUGUUUCUUUUCUCUGUCUUGCUUGUCGAAAACUGCUCGCCGUUCGCCACUCUGUUUCAGUUGUUCUCUAAUAGGGUCGUCUCCGGUCACCAGAGGUCCGAUUUUGGCACGACACGGUGCACGGUCCGAUAACACAAUUUCAGUCGUCUUGUGAGAGAGCGAGGAUUGUAACGGCACUCACUGGAUCACAUUUCUCACUGACUACGGGGUUAUUGCAGGCGUUCAUCCAAUACGGUGGUAAUUCGCACUUUCAGUCGUCGUGUGAGAAAGCGAGUAUAGUAACGGCACUCGCUGAGUCACGUUGGAUUGAAACGGCACUCGCUGGAUCACAAUCUCACACAGUACGGGGCUGCUGCAGCUGUUCGUUCAAAACGGUGGUAAUACGCUUCUGGUGUCAUACAGCACAUGGCGUGUGCCGUAGGAUGCUCCAGCGUUGCACGUACAAUGCAAUGGUUUUAACAACUCGCUGUAUAUUUUGCUCUUUUUCGAUGGUAUUUUAGACCACACAAUGUGAGGAAUGUAACGUGACUUGCUAUGUUUGUCUUCUCUUUGGUACUAUUUUCGGUUACACAAGGGUUGUUACGACACUCGUAAGAUACUGCUUGCGUUUUUUUUACACGAGGUUUGCUUUGCGGUUUAAAACUCUGCAGGAUCGCCAUGGAAUGUUGUACAAUAAACAGACGUUGGUUCAGUGGAACGUCCCAACGGAAAAAAGAUCUGCUCGGGUUUACUCAUUUCUUUUAUACAAAUUAACACUAAGGCAGUAGUCUAAUCUUGUUGCGUGCAACAUUGUUGCUGGCAAAAUGUAUGGAUUUGACUGUUAGUGAAACUUUGUUGCCGGCCAAAUACAAAACAAUUUGAUUUUUGUCCGAUAACAUUUUUUACCUUGGUCAUAAUCAUGACGUAUGAAAUCACACAACAGCGCUGAGUGUUUUGUUGACAUCUACUUCAUUUGGAAGAAAUUGCGUGUAGGAAGAUGAAUGCCGAACUUCUCAUAACUCUUGUUGGAGAAAAAAAGAUGCUUGUGAUGCGUGAAGGACUUUCACUACAAAAACGCGCCAUUCAAGGAGAGAGUUUGGAGGGAAAUUGCCGGGCAGUUGAAUGAAGACCCUUCUAAAAUAAAACACAAGUGGCAUACUUUAAGGACGCAAUUCAGUCGAAAGCUGAAUUAAAUGAAUCAGCCAACGGGUUCAGCAGCUGCUUGUUCACCCAAAUGGAAGUAUUUUGAUCAGUUAUCUUUCCUGAGGGAUUCAUUUAAAUCAAGGGGCAAUACAUCGAAUGUUCCAUUUCGUAUGGAAUAUACUGAAGGUACAGUAUCGGACAUUAAGAUAGGACCCUUUUUUUCAAUGCACCGUGCACUUGUUUUGCCACGUUACUUGUGUU